Molecule: ribosomal RNA, 246 nt
Filed under: Triticum aestivum (bread wheat)
Lineage: Eukaryota; Viridiplantae; Streptophyta; Magnoliopsida; Poales; Poaceae
Description: partial small subunit ribosomal RNA
Source: RNAcentral
AUGAAGGGAAUUACGAACAUACCUUGUCUCCACAUUGGAUCCAGAACAGGAUCAGAGGGAUCAAAAACUGCUAAUUCGUAUAAAGCCAUUACCUUUGAUUCCUCAAUAUUUUUUUCAUUAAUUACUCCGGAUUCCAAAAAUCAAUUUAGGAGUUGUGUUAUGGAUAAAAUCUCUUCCUCUUCAUUCUUUCAUAGAAUGAUACAAAGCAAGGCUGCAGGGUUUAGGUCAAAAAUAAACAUUAGGUAA